UACGAAGGGGCUAGCGUUGCUCGGAAUUACUGGGCGUAAAGCGCACGUAGGCGGCUUUCUAAGUCGGGGGUGAAAUCCUGGAGCUCAACUCCAGAACUGCCUUCGAUACUGGAGAGCUUGAGUCCGGGAGAGGUGAGUGGAACUGCGAGUGUAGAGGUGAAAUUCGUAGAUAUUCGCAAGAACACCAGUGGCGAAGGCGGCUCACUGGCCCGGUACUGACGCUGAGGUGCGAAAGCGUGGGGAGCAAACAGG
This 252-nucleotide ribosomal RNA is filed under the name uncultured bacterium. RNAcentral's name for it is "partial 16S ribosomal RNA". It matches the Rfam family "Bacterial small subunit ribosomal RNA", at positions 524 to 776 of the family's 1533-position model. The record is from RNAcentral.